RNAcentral lists this ribosomal RNA (87 nucleotides) under uncultured bacterium. RNAcentral describes it as "partial 16S ribosomal RNA". The record is from RNAcentral.
AGGAUGAAAGGUCCUUGGAUUGUAAACUCCUUUCGACCAGGAAGAUGAUGACGGUACUGGAUGAAGAAGCACCGGCUAACUCUGUGC